GCCUGGGUGGCUCAGUCGGUUAAGCGUCUGACUUCGGCUCAGGUCACGAUCUCACAGUUUGUGAGUUCAAGCCCCACGUCGGGCU
This 85-nucleotide transfer RNA is filed under the name Felis catus (domestic cat). It matches the Rfam family "tRNA". From Rfam's summary of the family: Transfer RNA (tRNA) molecules are approximately 80 nucleotides in length. The record is from Rfam by way of RNAcentral. Lineage: Eukaryota; Metazoa; Chordata; Mammalia; Carnivora; Felidae.